AAAGUUAUCAAAUUUGCAAAACCCAGCCAACCCGAUAAAGUUAGAAAUUUGGGAAAACACUGUCACUUCCUCUAAUUUUGCCCUAACCCAUUUGCAUUUUCCGAAAACCUUCAACAAAGCCAAAGUUGAGCCAUUUCUUCAUCUUUGUUCAUCAAAGGUGCAAUAUUUUGAAGGUUUCUGGAAACCGAAGUGGAGCUUCCUCUUCCUUUUGGAUUAAUCGCAGAGGGGUGCAUCAAACAGCAAGUUCCUCAACUAUUUAAACAAACACAUACUACCUGUUUUUGAUAAGGACCAAGAUAGUGAGUUGAAAGGGUUAUAGAAGAGUCUUCUGAUUUGAUUUGGGGAUGAAGUGUUGAAUUUAAAUGGUUUUCUGCUAGUACCGUUAUUAUUAAUUUUUCCUAAAAAAAUGUGAAGAAGAAGAUAGGAUUACUCCUUGAAGGUGGAAAUUCGUACCAACAUAAAUGGUCUUCUUCUUCACCUUUUUUGAGG
This is a long non-coding RNA of Vitis riparia (riverbank grape), 489 nucleotides long. RefSeq lists it as uncharacterized. NCBI's taxonomy places the organism in Eukaryota, Viridiplantae, Streptophyta, Magnoliopsida, Vitales, Vitaceae. The record is from RefSeq and is a predicted model, not a curated record. The transcript is spliced from 3 exons.